GGAUUCGAGAAGAGGUUACAGAGCAUCAAGGAGCGGCACGUGCAGUGAUGGCUUCCAAAACGGUGAAGAGGUGCCUGAAGCCCCAUCCUGUCUAGCCUGCGCACACGUCGCUAAGAAUGAAAGCUGAUUUCCAGUGAUAAGAGAACAAAGGGAUUUCUUUAGAGAAAAAACUGCUGACUCUGCACGGACGUGCAGUAACUUCUGACAUCCGGCCAAGAGACCACCAGAUAAGGAGGAAGAAUAUGAGCCUCCCGUCCGAGCGGCCCCCAAGAGACUACCAGAGACUGAUAAGCAGGCGCCCUUGGGAGGACUUUGGAUUCGGGAAACCAAUUAUAAUAACCCUGCCUCUUUUUAAAGUAGUAAUAAAUAUGAAGUAGCCUAGGAGUAUAAAAAAU
Cygnus atratus (black swan) is the source of this 395-nucleotide long non-coding RNA. RefSeq lists it as uncharacterized. The record is from RefSeq and is a predicted model, not a curated record. Lineage: Eukaryota; Metazoa; Chordata; Aves; Anseriformes; Anatidae. The transcript is spliced from 3 exons.